CAGUAGCCGCGGGAAUACAGAGGGUGCGAGCGUUAAUCGGAAUAACUGGGCGUAAAGGGCACGCAGGCGGUGACUUAAGUGAGGUGUGAAAGCCCCGGGCUUAACCUGGGAAUUGCAUUUCAUACUGGGUCGCUAGAGUACUUUAGGGAGGGGUAGAAUUCCACGUGUAGCGGUGAAAUGCGUAGAGAUGUGGAGGAAUACCGAAGGCGAAGGCAGCCCCUUGGGAAUGUACUGACGCUCAUGUGCGAAAGCGUGGGGAGCAAACAGGAUUAGAUACCCGUGUAGUCCCUGUCUCUUAUAC
Molecule: ribosomal RNA, 301 nt
Filed under: uncultured bacterium
Lineage: Bacteria
Description: partial 16S ribosomal RNA
Rfam family: Bacterial small subunit ribosomal RNA
Source: RNAcentral